UUAAGCGACUAAGCGUACACGGUGGAUGCCCUGGCAGUCAGAGGCGAUGAAGGACGUGCUAAUCUGCGAUAAGCGUCGGUAAGGUGAUAUGAACCGUUAUAACCGGCGAUUUCCGAAUGGGGAAACCCAGUGUGAUUCGUCACACUAUCAUUAACUGAAUCCAUAGGUUAAUGAGGCGAACCGGGGGAACUGAAACAUCUAAGUACCCCGAGGAAAAGAAAUCAACCGAGAUUCCCCCAGUAGCGGCGAGCGAACGGGGAGCAGCCCAGAGCCUGAAUCAGUGUGUGUGUUAGUGGAAGCGUCUGGAAAGGCGCGCGAUACAGGGUGACAGCCCCGUACACAAAAAUGCACAUGCUGUGAGCUCGAUGAGUAGGGCGGGACACGUGGUAUCCUGUCUGAAUAUGGGGGGACCAUCCUCCAAGGCUAAAUACUCCUGACUGACCGAUAGUGAACCAGUACCGUGAGGGAAAGGCGAAAAGAACCCCGGCGAGGGGAGUGAAAAAGAACCUGAAACCGUGUACGUACAAGCAGUGGGAGCCUCUUUAUGGGGUGACUGCGUACCUUUUGUAUAAUGGGUCAGCGACUUAUAUUCUGUAGCAAGGUUAACCGAAUAGGGGAGCCGAAGGGAAACCGAGUCUUAACUGGGCGUUAAGUUGCAGGGUAUAGACCCGAAACCCGGUGAUCUAGCCAUGGGCAGGUUGAAGGUUGGGUAACACUAACUGGAGGACCGAACCGACUAAUGUUGAAAAAUUAGCGGAUGACUUGUGGCUGGGGGUGAAAGGCCAAUCAAACCGGGAGAUAGCUGGUUCUCCCCGAAAGCUAUUUAGGUAGCGCCUCGUGAAUUCAUCUCCGGGGGUAGAGCACUGUUUCGGCAAGGGGGUCAUCCCGACUUACCAACCCGAUGCAAACUGCGAAUACCGGAGAAUGUUAUCACGGGAGACACACGGCGGGUGCUAACGUCCGUCGUGAAGAGGGAAACAACCCAGACCGCCAGCUAAGGUCCCAAAGUCAUGGUUAAGUGGGAAACGAUGUGGGAAGGCCCAGACAGCCAGGAUGUUGGCUUAGAAGCAGCCAUCAUUUAAAGAAAGCGUAAUAGCUCACUGGUCGAGUCGGCCUGCGCGGAAGAUGUAACGGGGCUAAACCAUGCACCGAAGCUGCGGCAGCGACACUAUGUGUUGUUGGGUAGGGGAGCGUUCUGUAAGCCUGCGAAGGUGUACUGUGAGGUAUGCUGGAGGUAUCAGAAGUGCGAAUGCUGACAUAAGUAACGAUAAAGCGGGUGAAAAGCCCGCUCGCCGGAAGACCAAGGGUUCCUGUCCAACGUUAAUCGGGGCAGGGUGAGUCGACCCCUAAGGCGAGGCCGAAAGGCGUAGUCGAUGGGAAACAGGUUAAUAUUCCUGUACUUGGUGUUACUGCGAAGGGGGGACGGAGAAGGCUAUGUUGGCCGGGCGACGGUUGUCCCGGUUUAAGCGUGUAGGCUGGUUUUCCAGGCAAAUCCGGAAAAUCAAGGCUGAGGCGUGAUGACGAGGCACUACGGUGCUGAAGCAACAAAUGCCCUGCUUCCAGGAAAAGCCUCUAAGCAUCAGGUAACAUCAAAUCGUACCCCAAACCGACACAGGUGGUCAGGUAGAGAAUACCAAGGCGCUUGAGAGAACUCGGGUGAAGGAACUAGGCAAAAUGGUGCCGUAACUUCGGGAGAAGGCACGCUGAUAUGUAGGUGAAGUCCCUUGCGGAUGGAGCUGAAAUCAGUCGAAGAUACCAGCUGGCUGCAACUGUUUAUUAAAAACACAGCACUGUGCAAACACGAAAGUGGACGUAUACGGUGUGACGCCUGCCCGGUGCCGGAAGGUUAAUUGAUGGGGUUAGCGGUAACGCGAAGCUCUUGAUCGAAGCCCCGGUAAACGGCGGCCGUAACUAUAACGGUCCUAAGGUAGCGAAAUUCCUUGUCGGGUAAGUUCCGACCUGCACGAAUGGCGUAAUGAUGGCCAGGCUGUCUCCACCCGAGACUCAGUGAAAUUGAACUCGCUGUGAAGAUGCAGUGUACCCGCGGCAAGACGGAAAGACCCCGUGAACCUUUACUAUAGCUUGACACUGAACAUUGAGCCUUGAUGUGUAGGAUAGGUGGGAGGCUUUGAAGUGUGGACGCCAGUCUGCAUGGAGCCGACCUUGAAAUACCACCCUUUAAUGUUUGAUGUUCUAACGUUGGCCCCUAAUCGGGGUUGCGGACAGUGUCUGGUGGGUAGUUUGACUGGGGCGGUCUCCUCCUAAAGAGUAACGGAGGAGCACGAAGGUUGGCUAAUCCUGGUCGGACAUCAGGAGGUUAGUGCAAUGGCAUAAGCCAGCUUGACUGCGAGCGUGACGGCGCGAGCAGGUGCGAAAGCAGGUCAUAGUGAUCCGGUGGUUCUGAAUGGAAGGGCCAUCGCUCAACGGAUAAAAGGUACUCCGGGGAUAACAGGCUGAUACCGCCCAAGAGUUCAUAUCGACGGCGGUGUUUGGCACCUCGAUGUCGGCUCAUCACAUCCUGGGGCUGAAGUAGGUCCCAAGGGUAUGGCUGUUCGCCAUUUAAAGUGGUACGCGAGCUGGGUUUAGAACGUCGUGAGACAGUUCGGUCCCUAUCUGCCGUGGGCGCUGGAGAACUGAGGGGGGCUGCUCCUAGUACGAGAGGACCGGAGUGGACGCAUCACUGGUGUUCGGGUUGUCAUGCCAAUGGCACUGCCCGGUAGCUAAAUGCGGAAGAGAUAAGUGCUGAAAGCAUCUAAGCACGAAACUUGCCCCGAGAUGAGUUCUCCCUGACUCCCUGAGAGUCCUGAAGGAACGUUGAAGACGACGACGUUGAUAGGCCGGGUGUGUAAGCGCAGCGAUGCGUUGAGCUAACCGGUACUAAUGAACCGUGAGGCUUAACCUU
This 2902-nucleotide ribosomal RNA is filed under the name Escherichia coli FVEC1465. RNAcentral describes it as "bacterial LSU rRNA". It matches the Rfam family "Bacterial large subunit ribosomal RNA". Lineage: Bacteria; Pseudomonadati; Pseudomonadota; Gammaproteobacteria; Enterobacterales; Enterobacteriaceae. RNAcentral also lists the same sequence under 2 other names. The record is from RNAcentral.